This 29-nucleotide non-coding RNA is filed under the name Mus musculus (house mouse). The record is from RNAcentral. Lineage: Eukaryota; Metazoa; Chordata; Mammalia; Rodentia; Muridae.
UGACAUCUCUGACUUUCUGGGUCUCCAUU